This is a small nuclear RNA of Leptonychotes weddellii (Weddell seal), 104 nucleotides long. The record is from RefSeq and is a predicted model, not a curated record. Lineage: Eukaryota; Metazoa; Chordata; Mammalia; Carnivora; Phocidae.
GUGCUUGUUUCAACAGCACAUACACUAAAAUUGGAACGAUACAGACAUUAGCAUGGCCCCUGAGCAAGGAGGACAUGCAAAUUCAUGAACGAAAAAAAAAAUCA